GAUGAACAAACUUCUGGAGACGAUGAUGUCGACGAAAGUAUGGAUGCAGAUGGUGUUGAUGUAGAAGAUGAUAAUGUAGAGCAAGAAGAAGAUGUUGACACUGAUAAUAUUCAGAGUGAUGUUGUGGAGGAGGCAACUGAUGACGAGAGAUUGGAC
This is a long non-coding RNA of Lolium perenne, 156 nucleotides long. RefSeq lists it as uncharacterized. The record is from RefSeq and is a predicted model, not a curated record. NCBI's taxonomy places the organism in Eukaryota, Viridiplantae, Streptophyta, Magnoliopsida, Poales, Poaceae.